RNAcentral lists this ribosomal RNA (253 nucleotides) under uncultured bacterium. RNAcentral describes it as "partial 16S ribosomal RNA". It matches the Rfam family "Bacterial small subunit ribosomal RNA", at positions 524 to 776 of the family's 1533-position model. The record is from RNAcentral.
UACGUAGGGUGCGAGCGUUAAUCGGAAUUACUGGGCGUAAAGAGUGCGUAGGUGGUUAAUUAAGUUAUCUGUGAAAUCCCUGGGCUUAACCUGGGCAGGUCAGAUAAUACUGAUUGACUCGAGUAUGGGAGAGGGUAGUGGAAUUUCCGGUGUAGCGGUGAAAUGCGUAGAGAUCGGAAGGAACACCAGUGGCGAAGGCGGCUACCUGGCCUAAUACUGACACUGAGGCACGAAAGCGUGGGGAGCAAACAGG